Molecule: ribosomal RNA, 1022 nt
Filed under: Kaistella anthropi
Lineage: Bacteria; Pseudomonadati; Bacteroidota; Flavobacteriia; Flavobacteriales; Weeksellaceae
Also listed under: 1 other name
Description: bacterial SSU rRNA
Rfam family: Bacterial small subunit ribosomal RNA
Source: RNAcentral
GAGAGCGGCGCACGGGUGCGUAACACGUGUGCAACCUACCUUUAUCUGGGGGAUAGCCUUUCGAAAGGAAGAUUAAUACCCCAUAAUAUAAUUGAUGGCAUCAUUGAUUAUUGAAAACUCCGGUGGAUAGAGAUGGGCACGCGCAAGAUUAGAUAGUUGGUGAGGUAACGGCUCACCAAGUCCAUGAUCUUUAGGGGUCCUGAGAGGGAGAUCCCCCACACUGGUACUGAGACACGGACCAGACUCCUACGGGAGGCAGCAGUGAGGAAUAUUGGACAAUGGGUGAGAGCCUGAUCCAGCCAUCCCGCGUGAAGGAUGACGGUCCUAUGGAUUGUAAACUUCUUUUGUACAGGGAUAAACCUACUCUCGUGAGGGUAGCUGAAGGUACUGUACGAAUAAGCACCGGCUAACUCCGUGCCAGCAGCCGCGGUAAUACGGAGGGUGCAAGCGUUAUCCGGAUUUAUUGGGUUUAAAGGGUCCGUAGGCGGACCCGUAAGUCAGUGGUGAAAUCUCAUAGCUUAACUAUGAAACUGCCAUUGAUACUGCGGGUCUUGAGUAAAUUUGAAGUGGCUGGAAUAAGUAGUGUAGCGGUGAAAUGCAUAGAUAUUACUUAGAACACCAAUUGCGAAGGCAGGUCACUAAGAUUUAACUGACGCUGAUGGACGAAAGCGUGGGUAGCGAACAGGAUUAGAUACCCUGGUAGUCCACGCCGUAAACGAUGCUAACUCGUUUUUGGAUUUUCGGAUUCAGAGACCAAGCGAAAGUGAUAAGUUAGCCACCUGGGGAGUACGUCCGCAAGGAUGAAACUCAAAGGAAUUGACGGGGGCCCGCACAAGCGGUGGAUUAUGUGGUUUAAUUCGAUGAUACGCGAGGAACCUUACCAAGACUUAAAUGGGAAUUGACAGGUUUAGAAAUAGACCCUUCUUCGGACAAUUUUCAAGGUGCUGCAUGGUUGUCGUCAGCUCGUGCCGUGAGGUGUUAGGUUAAGUCCUGCAACGAGCGCAACCCCUGUCACUAGUUGC